RNAcentral lists this ribosomal RNA (872 nucleotides) under uncultured bacterium. RNAcentral's name for it is "bacterial SSU rRNA". It matches the Rfam family "Bacterial small subunit ribosomal RNA", at positions 77 to 948 of the family's 1533-position model. The record is from RNAcentral.
UGCUUGCACCGAUGCUGACGACCGGCGCACGGGUGCGUAACGCGUAUAGAACCUACCUUAUAGUAAGGGAUAGCCCAGAGAAAUUUGGAUUAAUACCUUAUGGUAUCAUAAAUUGGCAUCGAUUAUUGAUUAAAGAUUUAUCGCUAUAAGAUGGCUAUGCGUUCUAUUAGCUAGUUGGUAUGGUAACGGCAUACCAAGGCUACGAUAGAUAGGGGUCCUGAGAGGGAGAUCCCCCACACUGGUACUGAGACACGGACCAGACUCCUACGGGAGGCAGCAGUGAGGAAUAUUGGACAAUGGAGGCAACUCUGAUCCAGCCAUGCCGCGUGUAGGAAGACUGCCCUAUGGGUUGUAAACUACUUUUAUAGAGGAAGAAACCCCGAUAUGUAUAUCGGUCUGACGGUACUCUACGAAUAAGGAUCGGCUAACUCCGUGCCAGCAGCCGCGGUAAUACGGAGGAUCCAAGCGUUAUCCGGAAUCAUUGGGUUUAAAGGGUCCGUAGGCGGGUUUGUAAGUCAGUGGUGAAAGUUUACGGCUCAACCGUGAAAUUGCCAUUGAUACUGCAAGUCUUGAAUCAUUAUGAAGUGGUUAGAAUAAGUAGUGUAGCGGUGAAAUGCAUAGAUAUUACUUAGAAUACCGAUUGCGAAGGCAGAUCACUAAUAAUGUAUUGACGCUAAGGGACGAAAGCGUGGGUAGCGAACAGGAUUAGAUACCCUGGUAGUCCACGCCGUAAACGAUGGUUACUAGCUGUUCGGACUUCGGUUUGAGUGGCUAAGCGAAAGUGAUAAGUAACCCACCUGGGGAGUACGUUCGCAAGAAUGAAACUCAAAGGAAUUGACGGGGCCCGCACAAGCGGUGGAGCAUGUGGUUUA